This 161-nucleotide ribosomal RNA is filed under the name uncultured bacterium. Its description in RNAcentral is "partial 16S ribosomal RNA". It matches the Rfam family "Bacterial small subunit ribosomal RNA", at positions 338 to 508 of the family's 1533-position model. The record is from RNAcentral.
CCUACGGGAGGCAGCAGUGGGGAAUCUUGCGCAAUGGGCGGAAGCCUGACGCAGCGACGCCGCGUGCGGGAGGAAGGCCCUCGGGUCGUAAACCGCUUUCAGCAGGGACGAGGCCGCAAGGUGACGGUACCUGCAGAAGAAGCCCCCGGCUAACUACGUGC